This 445-nucleotide ribosomal RNA is filed under the name uncultured bacterium. Its description in RNAcentral is "SSU rRNA". It matches the Rfam family "Bacterial small subunit ribosomal RNA", at positions 26 to 518 of the family's 1533-position model. The record is from RNAcentral.
AGAACGAACGCUGGCGGCAGGCCUAACACAUGCAAGUCGAGCGCCCAGCAAUGGGAGCGGCGGACGGGUGCGUAACGCGUGGGAAUAUGCCUUUCGGUACGGAACAACUCAGGGAAACUUGAGCUAAAUACCGUAUACGCCCUUAGGGGGAAAGAUUUAUCGCCGAAAGAUUAGCCCGCGUAGGAUUAGCUUGUUGGUGAGGUAAUGGCUCACCAAGGCGACGAUCCUUAGCUGGUUUGAGAGAACGACCAGCCACACUGGGACUGAGACACGGCCCCAGACUCCUACGGGAGGCAGCAGUGGGGAAUCUUGGACAAUGGGGAAACCCUGAUCCAGCCAUGCCGCGUGAGUGAUGAAGGCCUUCGGGUUGUAAAACUCUUUCGACGGGGACGAUAAUGACGGUACCCGUAGAAGAAGCUCCGGCUAACUUCGUGCCAGCAGCCGC